ACGCUCGACACCUACGGGAGGUAGCAGUGGGGAAUAUUGCACAAUGGGGGAAACCCUGAUGCAGCGACGCCGCGUGGAGGAAGAAGGUCUUCGGAUUGUAAACUCCUGUUGUUGGGGAAAAAGAGGAUGGUACCCAACAAGGAAGUGACGGCUAACUACGUGCCCGCAGCCGCGGUAAUCUGAGCGGGCUGGCAAGGC
This 198-nucleotide ribosomal RNA is filed under the name uncultured bacterium. Its description in RNAcentral is "partial 16S ribosomal RNA". It matches the Rfam family "Bacterial small subunit ribosomal RNA", at positions 328 to 539 of the family's 1533-position model. The record is from RNAcentral.